UCCGCCAUGUUGAGGCGCGGAGCCGCCGCCCAGCACAGGGCAGCGGGCGGGGGCCGGGGCGCUGCCCGGGCCCUGCGAACCCUCGGAGCUGCUUCUGCCUCCCUCGCUAUCCCGCCCAUCUGCCCGAGCUCCCUCGGGCGCUGACCGUCCUGUCGUGAGGGUUGGAACGAAGGGCUGCAAGUGUCCUUCUGCGUGGGGCGGUGGCCUGCGGAGACCCCCCCGCGGCAGGUCUCGGGGUGGGGCAGUCCUGUAAUUGCGUGACAGCGAUGUUCUAUGACACGAGUGAUAAGGACAUCUUUGUGACAGCCUCUCAAGCUCGGCUCGGGUCGCCCGUGCUCAGAAGUGCACGGGGCCAGUGCGAAGUCCGCUGGAAGCGACAGCCCUGCCACGAUUUUGGCUGCGAGUUUGCAGCUCUGGGUUGGCACUGCGGGGCUUGUGAAGCCGCCGGGGACCAAACGGGAGCUCCCAAGUCAAGGUCCCCAGUCCAGUGACCUUGAACAGCAGCACUGAGGAAAAGGAGAAGUGUGGUCAGUGGAGCCUGGGGCAGCUUGGUGAACCGCAGUGUGAAAUAGUGAGCGCUGUCACAGUAUCUCAGCCGUCUGAAAACACCACAAUGAAAAAACUUGGUUGUAUAUGAUACCUAAGGAGUGAUCCAGUAAGAAACAGAUGAGUCUGCAAAAACUCAAAGAGUAGUUUUUUCGUGAUAAUAAAUAUCAAAUAAAUCUUUUUCAAGUGAACCAUG
Vidua chalybeata is the source of this 742-nucleotide long non-coding RNA. RefSeq lists it as uncharacterized. The record is from RefSeq and is a predicted model, not a curated record. NCBI's taxonomy places the organism in Eukaryota, Metazoa, Chordata, Aves, Passeriformes, Viduidae. The transcript is spliced from 2 exons.